Molecule: long non-coding RNA, 309 nt
Organism: Rhineura floridana
Lineage: Eukaryota; Metazoa; Chordata; Lepidosauria; Squamata; Rhineuridae
Exons: 4
Source: RefSeq, a predicted model, not a curated record
AUCUGUUUGUGUCUCAGCCAUCUGUGUUGAUAGUGGAAUUAUUUCUAAGGCUCCACUGAAAAGCUCACCUACCUGUUUAUUCAUUUUUAAUAAUAACAACCUGCUUGCUUUUCAACAGGAGGAACCAGGAUGCAUCUUUCCUGUGUUGGACUCGCCUGAGAUCAGGAGCUAAAGACCAGGGACUCAUUAAGAAUUCACUGCACAGUUAACUUACGGUACAAUGGUUAUACUGUAGAUGUCUACUCACAAGUAUAGCCCAAUGUGUAACCCCAUGAACCUUCGGAUCUUUCUGCUCUGUACAGAGAACAC